UUGAGAGGAGAUUGGAUAGGAUUUCUAUGAGCAUUGAUUUUGGGUGAUUUGAAGUUGUUAUGACUUUGUAAAAGCUUUGCAAAGUAAGGGUUUGUUUUGAAUGACUUGGGUUUUAUGAAAUGAAAUAAGGUUUAUGUUUUGGGUAAUUUCAAGAGUUUUGUAAUAAAUCUAUGUAUGAAAUUUUGUGGGUUUAUGGUUAUAGUUGUGAUUAAUAUGUGGUAUAAAUUUGAGCUCGAUCUAACGGUUGAAUUAAGGAAUAUUGAGGUUUAAGUGGGUCAAGGUCUCAGAAAGUAGAAUUUUUAGUAUAAUAGGAGUUUUUAAGAAUUCUUGCAGUCUACUAGUUGGAUUGGAGUGAAACUUAUGUAACAAGAUAUUAGACUUGAUUUUCUAUAUAUUUGAGAAUUUUGAGAUCAAUCGAACGAUGCAAAAGAGAGAUAUUGGCUCU
RNAcentral lists this long non-coding RNA (445 nucleotides) under Physcomitrium patens. Its description in RNAcentral is "long non-coding RNA (PPAT_LNC001847)". The record is from RNAcentral. Lineage: Eukaryota; Viridiplantae; Streptophyta; Bryopsida; Funariales; Funariaceae.